UGGAAGAGUAAACAAACAGGCCAGCCA
RNAcentral lists this non-coding RNA (27 nucleotides) under Mus musculus (house mouse). The record is from RNAcentral. Lineage: Eukaryota; Metazoa; Chordata; Mammalia; Rodentia; Muridae.